AGGGUGAAGAGGUCUCAGAGAAUCGGUGGCUGUAACUGUUUACUAAAAACACAGCGCUCUGCAAAGAUGAAAGUCGACGUAUAGGGCGUGAUGCCUGCCCGGUGCUGGAAGAUUAAUUGAUGGGGUGCAAGCUCCUGAUCGAAGUCCCAGUAAACGGCGGCCGUAACUAUAACGGUCCUAAGGUAGCGAAAUUCCUUGUCGGGCAAGUUCCGACCUGCACGAAUGGCAUAAUAAUGGCCACACUGUCUCCUCCCGAGACUCAGUGAAAUUGAAAUGUUUGUGAUGAUGCAAUCUCCCCGCGGCUAGACGGAAAGACCCCAUGAACCUUAACUGUAGCUUUGCAUUGGACUUUGAACCGAUCUGUGUAGGAUAGGCGGGAGGCUUUGAAGAAUGGACGCCAGUUCAUUCGGAGCCGUCGUUGAAAUACCGCCCUGAUUUGUUUGAGGUUCUAACCUGGGCCAGUGAUCCUGGCUGGGGACCGUGCAUGGUGGGCAGUUUGACUGGGGCGGUCUCCUCCUAAAGGGUAACGGAGGAGUGCGAAGGUACGCUAAUCACGGUCGGAAAUCGUGAGGAUACUGCAAUGGGAAAAGCGUGCCUGACUGCGAGACAGACAAGUCGAGCAGAUGCGAAAGCAGGUCAUAGUGAUCCGGUGGCUUCUGUAUGGAAGGGCCAUCGCUCAACGGAUAAAAGGUACUCUGGGGAUAACAGGCUGAUACCGCCCAAGAGUUCAUAUCGACGGCGGUGUUUGGCACCUCGAUGUCGGCUCAUCUCAUCCUGGGGCUGUAGUCGGUCCCAAGGGUAUGGCUGUUCGCCAUUUAAAGAGGUACGUGAGCUGGGUUUAAAACGUCGUGAGACAGUUUGGUCCCUAUCUACCGCGGGCGCUGGAAGAUUGACAGGGGCUGCUCCUAGUACGAGAGGACCGGAGUGGACGCACCUCUGGUGUAUCGGUUGUGACGCCAGUCGCAUUGCCGAGUAGCUAUGUGCGGAAGAGAUAACCGCUGAAAGCAUCUAAGCGGGAAACUUGCCUGAAGAUUAGUCUUCCCGGAGGCUUGACCUCCCUGAAGGGUCGUCCGAGACCAGGACGUUGAUAGGCCAGGUGUGGAAGCGCUGUGAGGCGUGAAGCUAACUGGUACUAAUUGCCCGUGCGGCUUGAUCCU
RNAcentral lists this ribosomal RNA (1157 nucleotides) under human gut metagenome. Its description in RNAcentral is "bacterial LSU rRNA". It matches the Rfam family "Bacterial large subunit ribosomal RNA", at positions 1765 to 2925 of the family's 2925-position model. The record is from RNAcentral.